UUGACCUCGGAUCAGGUAGGGAUACCCGCUGAACUUAAGCAUAUCAAUAAGGGGAA
This 56-nucleotide ribosomal RNA is filed under the name ascomycete sp. ZGZII04015. Its description in RNAcentral is "partial 28S ribosomal RNA". The record is from RNAcentral. Lineage: Eukaryota; Fungi; Ascomycota.